Gasterosteus aculeatus aculeatus (three-spined stickleback) is the source of this 3121-nucleotide long non-coding RNA. The record is from Ensembl. NCBI's taxonomy places the organism in Eukaryota, Metazoa, Chordata, Actinopteri, Perciformes, Gasterosteidae.
AAAAAAUUGCUUGGUAGCAAGUUAGUGUUACCUACGUCCGCCUGGUUGGUGAUCUCUGCUCGUCCGUCGUUUCUGCAGCUCAUCGCAGCCCCUCUGUCGCUGACAUUCAGUGCGCACUGAUUUGUUUUUGUGACCAGCUCGAGAAUUCUGCAGCUGCAUGAAACACCGAAGGGCUUCUGAGUAAAGAGUCUUUUGACCUCACCUGCCCGCCCGCUAAGUCCGCUGCUGUCCAGUGAACAACAGCCCGCGGUCUGCAUUUGCGCAUUGAGGACGACUCUGCUUGAAACGGCAACAAGUAGGCUGGUUCUUAACCGAACAUCUAUUUUUUGUGUUGAUCCGCUGGGUUUUGAAAGCUGGAGGGUCAAAGAAUUCGGUCCUUCAACUGGAGUUUGACAAAAAAUAGACAAAACAGAAGACGAAACAUUUCGCAAUGGAGUCUGGUGCCCCUGAACCAACUUCGCAUUGCAUGUCAAGGGAUUCUUCUGUAUACUGGAUUUAAUUCCUGAUUCCUUUCUGAGAGACAUUUUCAAGCGUUGAAUUUUAACCCUCCAUGAAUGUUUUUACUGCACUUACCAGGCGCGCUGAUACCACAGAUAGUAAAGUAAGUAAAGGAUCCUAACUAGCAGUUUAAACCGCAUCAAACAACAUUUAAACUCACCUGGGUGUUGAUUUAGGUUCAUAUGGGUGCUGAUUUAAGCUCACCUGGGUGCUGAUUUAGGCUCAUAUGGGUGCUGAUUUAUAAGCUCACCUGGGUGCUGAUUUAGGCUCAUAUGGGUGCUGAUUUAGGCUCAUAUGGGUGCUGAUUUAUAAGCUCACCUGGGUGCUGAUUUAGGCUCAUAUGGGCAGGCCGAGUGAGACGUGGUAAGUAAACAAAGCAGGUGCUCAGAUUACAACACACACAGAGGGAGAGAGGCUUCAUAUCUCAGGUCAGAUAAAUAUUGCUGCACUCUAUCUACAUUCCUGCUAUAUAUCACAUAUGUCUUUAGCAUUCUAUUGGGGUCUUGAAUGUUUAAACGAGACACAUUUUCGCUCCUGCACUUUCCUCCUUGAACUUGUACAUUUUUGCAGAUUGCCAGCGGCGGUGCCAAGUGCAGUUAAUCCAACCGUGAUCAUUACUAGACAUAAAAUAACUUGAGUGGUCUGCAGCCUUCACCGAGCUAGAAUGAAGAUUUCAGGAUACAGCAGUUUAUCCCGAGGUAGCAUCUAUUGUCAUAAUCUUCUUGGCAAGAGCAACCUUGAGACGUCUGCGUUUCUCUCUGUGAUGGAGAAAGCAGUGGGCGGGUUUAAACAAUGCGUGUAACGUCAGGGGGCCUCAAAUGUCACAGCACACAAAUCAAUAGUGUUAGAGGGACCAACUCGGGCUCUCUACUGAAUCCUGAUCCUCAUAAAGUUUGUUCCGCCCCAAACAGUCUAUUGGUCAUCCCAGUGAUUCUAUGGGUCAAAAAGAACCACCAGUUAAUUUCUGAAUUACUUUCCGGUCAGAAGUCUUUUAAGUACUGUGAGGUAAUCUUUUGAGAAUAAUCCCCUUGAGUGAGACGGUGACCUUUUCAUGAAGCUAAGCAGCACUAUGAUAAUUAAUGAUUGCGCCUCAGGUUGAAACUCCCACACACAAAAACAUUUGGACAUUCAUUUACGUUUUUGAGCAUUGUUUUCGGUAUUUUGGCCUCCGCCAUCUUACAUCUUGACGAACUGUCAUGGAUGGAAAACACAGUUUGAGAGGUUUGAGGGGACGAUAUUUAGUGCAGUAUGGACCCGUCAAAUGCAAACCAGUCAUGGCCUGAAGCCUAAUCUGCUUUAAAGUCUAUUUGACUGUAAACGGGACAUCAUUUAGGAAAUGAAUACCACGAUAUAUCGAGACGAUAAAACCACACAAAGGAGAAGGGAAUGUUCUUUUUCAUAGACUUCCAUCCCACUGACCCACUUUAACAGCCACAGGAGGCUCCCCGGAUGGCCAGUAGAAAGAAUAAAAGUUUAUGGUACCUGGUGGGUACAUCGAGGGGACUCGCUUUAAAGUGAUCGGUGGCACUGAGGUGAACUUUCUUCACAACAAGGCUGUUCAUGGCGGGUAUUUCUCCGUUUUGUUUCCCCGGCUGGUGAGAAACGUCUCCAGCUGCUGUCUGUUAUCCGGCUGUUUGAGCCGCUGUCGCUGGUUCCGUAUGAAAGCUUUGUCGUUUUAAAGAGUCCGGGUCACUUUGAGGCCGCUCCACCAUUUCACACCUCUCUUUUUGUGGUGGUUGUUGUGCGUUUGGCUCUUCUCGGCAGGCCAAGCUUUCUUCACGCCCCCGAAGAGGGCUUUUCUUUUUCUGCCUUCAACAUUAUUCUGUUGUGUUGAUUUAGAUAAUAUUCAAGCAAACGUUCAACAUGUAUUGGAGGUACAGGGCUUCUAACUGUAAACAGACACACUUCCCACGCACUCUCACCGACACACACACACAAACACCGUCUCUGCUCUCGAGCUGUAGAUAAGAAUGCGAGGUGGGAUAAGUCGGACGCCAUUUAGCCGAGGUCUUAUCACCCCCCCAAAACCUCUGUGGGUGACGUCCCGUGUCUCUCUCUCUCUUCUAUUCUAUUCUUCUUCUCUCUUCCGCUCUGUUGUUUUGAAUGUGGUGUUGUGUCAAUAUCUCGAUCACGAUUUCAUUUCAUUUUCAUGCCAUAGACGGCAUCGCUAUGGUCCCCCAGCGCUUCAAGUCUUCCAUUUUGAAUAAAACAAUACUUCACUUCAAAAAAAAUCAUGACAACUCCAUUGUUGUGUUUCAUUGUUGCCGCCGUUCAUUGGAGAGAAGCUGCAUCACGUGUUACUUGAUGGUCGUAAAGAGUGAAUAGAAAUCACGGCGUAUUUAGAUGAACUGAGCUUGUGUCUUUUUCUUUGUUGUCGUUCAACUCACAGUUCGACAUUCGGUAGCAUCACACACGACGUAUUGUUGCUGUUGUCUUGUAAACAGGUUUUUGCCACAUUUCUCAGCACUGUUCCUGGGGCUUCAUAGCAAUGGGUUGUUCUGAAAUAAAUGCCAUUUUUCAUACGGGGUGAUUCUGCAGCAUUAAACCUGUGUUUACAAUAUUCCUUAUUGUAGCAUCCCUUCAACUUGGAAUAAACAGGCUUGGGAGUGUUUCCAGACGGGUG